UACGUAGGGACCAAGCGUUGCUCGGAAUCACUGGGCGUAAAGGGUGCGUAGGCGGGUCUUUUAAGUCAGGGGUGAAAUCCUGGAGCUCAACUCCAGAACUGCCUUUGAUACUGAAGAUCUUGAGUUCGGGAGAGGUGAGUGGAACUGCGAGUGUAGAGGUGAAAUUCGUAGAUAUUCGCAAGAACACCAGUGGCGAAGGCGGCUCACUGGCCCGAUACUGACGCUGAGGCACGAAAGCGUGGGGAGCAAACAGG
Molecule: ribosomal RNA, 254 nt
Filed under: uncultured bacterium
Lineage: Bacteria
Description: partial 16S ribosomal RNA
Rfam family: Bacterial small subunit ribosomal RNA
Source: RNAcentral